GUUUUUAUUUUUAGGUUUUGAUUUGUGGGUUGGUACUUUAGAUGAAGGGGAUGCCCUUACCCUUUGAAUUUGAGGGGAAGGGGGUGUUAGAAUUAGACGUUUUGUUCAAUAAAGAUAGUAUCUUGAAUUCUUGGAGUAACCACAAUACCAGCAAAGAAAGUAGUAGUUGUUGUUACUUUGUAAAUAGUCCAAGUGCUGUCCUGGAUACUA
Molecule: unclassified non-coding RNA, 210 nt
Filed under: Hevea brasiliensis (rubber tree)
Lineage: Eukaryota; Viridiplantae; Streptophyta; Magnoliopsida; Malpighiales; Euphorbiaceae
Source: RNAcentral